ACCUACCAUCUUAUCAUACUCAUUAAUGUCUUCGCUAUCAAAAUUCAUGAUGACUGCUGCUAGUGCCUCAACCCUGGGUCUCUUUUCAAUGGGAACUAUCACUUCAUCAUCAUUAAUAGUCUAAAUCACGGACACCACUCUCAUAUCCUUCAGUUGUCGCAUAUAUUGACAAACAUUAAAAGUAAAUUGAUCAUCAUUGAGUCUGAACUUCAUCUACCCUAUCUCUAUAUCAACCAAAGUCCUUCCCGUAGCUAGGAAAGACCUUUCCAAAAUAAUAAGCACUCUGAAUUCCACCUUGUAGUCUAAGAUUACAAAGUCAGCUAAAAAUAUGAAGCAUGCAACCUUCACCAAUACAUCACAUAAAAUACCAACUAGUUUCUUGACAGUCCGGUCAGCCAUCAACAGCCUCAUGGAUGUAGGUUUAGGUACCCCCAACCCCAACUACUUGUAUACCACCAAUUGAUGAUAUCUCCCAAAUUAUAUAAUGUGCGAGAGAAGUUAUAGGACCCAAUAGUACAUGGAAUAGUAAAUUCUCCAGGGUUCUUUUUUACUGGCACUAACGAUCGAAUAGACACAGCACUACAAUGGUGCAUAUUAUCUACAAGAUCAAAUCUCACUGCUAGCUUCUUAGUGAUCGAGUCCUUAUAAACUUUGCAUAUCCAGGAAUCCGCUUCAAAGCUUCUACAAAAUGAAUGUUAACGGAUAGUUUUUUCAGCAUCGACAAGAACUUCUGAUGCUUUUCUUCCUUAUUAUCAAGGGAAAAAUAAAGGUAAUUCAUGGAAUGGUCUUCAAUACAAGCUCCACUACCUUUUCCUUACCUUUAUCCUUCUCUAUACAUUUACCACCAUCUAUUAAUUUCUCUAUCUCUGCAUCAGGUGUUUUAUCAAUAUCAACACUAUCAUUCUAUGUCUUAUUAACUGCAGGCAUACGGGGUUCAAUAAUUGUAUUUCCACUUCUAAUAGUGAUAGAAAGACAGUGACUGCCAUUCUUAUGAUUCAGAACUAUAUUGCUUGUAAGGGUGCCUGGUUUCUAUUGAUUUAAAGUUAUCAAUAUUUGGAAAAAAUUUUGCUCCAACUAUUUGAUUGCGGUGGUAUGCGAUUCCAUUUUUUGGGUCAAAACUGAGAUGUCAUGGAGCACAACCGCAUCGCAUAACCAUGAUCUCAAUCAAACCAGCGCGAUCGAGGCUCAAUGAGAUUAUUCCCAGGGUCAGAUUCACAAAAUUACAUAAAUGAAUUCCAAACCAUAUAUAGGCAAAAACCCUUUCUAGAUUGCUUACCUUACAAAAUAUCUUUGAAUUCUAGACUUGAAACCCUAAUUGGGCAAGUAUGUAAUUAACUUUGGAGGCUAAAUUUCUCAGGAAUUUUGUGAAGAAUGAAUACUUUAGAUAAUCUUUAUGGUAUAUCUCUCUUUACUUUCUUCAUGAGUAGCUAAGCAAUUUAGUCUUGGAUUAUGUUAAACUAGAGUGUAAUUUAUGUGUAGGUAUUGUUGUAUUUGUAUGAUAAUUAGUUGUUGAGUAAGUAUUUCACCAUUGUUUGAUCUUAUGAGACAAAAUUUGAUAGGUAAAAGCCCCAAAUCUCCAAAUGGGUUUGAUAGGUGAAAACUCCAAAAUCUAGGAACCCUUUAUCAUCCUCAAAAAAGGGAUGAAGGUGAAUAUGAGGUAACCCAUAACAUUCUUGAAAGAGGUCUAUAUAGGGAUAAGGAAAUGGUGGACAAUUAAGUCUAUGGUUUGCCCCCUUUUCCAUUCUUAGGAGUACAAAUCAUGUCAAGAGCAUCAUCAUAGAAAUAGUAAUACUUGAUUGAGGUUUUGGGUGAUUACGAAUUUCAUACUUGUUAGGUGCUCGAAAGAGCUAACGGAUGAAAUCAUUGUGGUUUUAUUGAAAGAUUGGCUAAAAUGACCUUAGACCUAGCCUAUCCUUUAGUUAACAACUAAAUUUCAUGCUAAACCAUAAUUAACCCACAUGUUCUUACCUUGAGGUAGACAUAAUCCUAAUAUUUGCCCCAACAUUGUUGCUUAAAACGAAAGUGUUAUCUCUUGAUAAUUUGCUAAAGAUCAUACAAAAAGUUUCCAAGAAAAUCCCCCAUUUUAUUUUGGAUGUCAUUUUUGUUAGCAUUCUAGGUAAUCUCAUAGUAGUUUGAGUACCCAUAGUGUUUGAAGUCUAUAAUUUGCUCCUUAAGAUUCGACCCCAAUUCAAAUUGGGUUACUUGACAAUGACCGCCUCACCCCUCAAUUAUGGGACUAAGUUGAGCGUUAUAAAAAUGGCACUGUUGCCAGGGAGUGAAAUAUAGAUUUUGCUUGUGUGGUGUUAUUCUUACUUUGGAUUAUCCAGAGUGUCGUACUUUAUUUUCUUUGUUUUUUUUGGAUCUUUUGCAGGUAAUCUUACCAUAAACAAAACUAUGAGUGAAGGCACCAAUCCUGUGGAGUCAUUUAAUAUACCCACUCAUGUAGAAAGAUACUUAAAUAGUAGGAGUCAUGCGAGUGAAAAUCGUAUCCCACCUCACCAUGGGAAUGGGACAUUUCAUUUGUCUAGUGUCAUGCUUCAUGUGUUUCAAGUAAAGGGUCUAAACAGAGGCCAACCCCAUGAGGAUCCAUAUGUUCACUUAAAGAAUUUUUUGGAAGUUUGUACUCUCUUCAACAUUUCUCAUAUUACUCAACAUUCCUUUCGGCUUCGGCUAUUUCCAUUAUCACUAAUGGGUGAAGCAUUGUUAUGGUUCUGCACACUCCCUACGGCUUCACUCACUUCAUGGAAUGAGCUCACAAAGGAGUUUUUAGAUCAAUUCUCUUCUCCAUCCAAGGUGUGUCAUCCGAGAAAUGAAAUCAUGAUCUUUAGACAAAUGAACGGGGAGCCACUUCAUGAAGUAUGGGAGAGAUUUCAUAGGAAGUUAGCCAAAUUCCCAAACCACGAGAUUCCGAGGAAGGUGCUUCUCUAAAUAUUCUAUCGAGCACUAGAUCCUUUGAACCAAAUGGUGGUAAAUAAUGCGGCUAAAGGUUAUCUCUUAAACUUGUACUUCCAUGUGGCUACAAAAUUGUUAAGAGAGGUAACUAAACACAAUUGGGAAUGUCAUACUCGAGACAUCAACAUUUCAAAUAGCCCUUCAUCUAGGCCCAUGGUUAGUAGAGAACAAAGAAAGUGGGAUGAGGAUCAAGAGAAAACCAUGGCAAAGAUCUUGACCCAACUUGAGCUCCUAAAAAAGUAUGUCAUGGGUGAACCCAUGAAAAAGGCAAACCCCAUGACACAAAGAUCCCAUUACGAAGAUGAAGAAGCUAGGAGAAUGGAGGAAGAAAUUUGGUACCUAGCUAACCACUCGGGGGGUUCUCAUCCGGCCUAUUAUAGGAAAGGUGGGAAUCAAGGUUGGAUAAAUCACAGUGGUGGUCGCUUUUGGAGAGAUCGGGUACAUGAGUAUUGCCAUUUUGUUACUCACCAAGAUUGGGAUUCCAACAAAGAGUCAAUCUCCAUUAACACCGACAGAGGUAGAAUGAAGGAUCUCCUUGCAAGAAUUUUGAACAAAGUUAAAGGAGCGGACAAAAUGGUUCGUAAAUUAAAAGAGGCCUUUAUUUAACUCUCUAAAAUGGUGUUCUCCCAUUAGACAUCUAUCAAAUAAUUGGAGAAUCAAAUGGGACUAAUCUUCGCACAUCUAGAUGCUAAACCUAAGGGAGACUCUACUAGUGUCAUAAUCGCCUCCAAAAUGAUGAUAAAAUGUUGGCGAUAUAUGCAGAGGGUAAAAAAACAAAGAAAGAGAACUUGACAAAGGAUUUGGGAAGAAAAAUGCACAAUGCCCAAUCAAAAGAGAGGUUGUGCCAAAGACUAAUCGACAAAGACAAGAAAGAGGUAAAAGCAUUGUUGGAAGGUUAAUUGAUGAAGAGGAGUUUGAUAAGUGGGGUCCUAUGGACCCUUCUUGAAAAAUUAAUACAUUCCAACAUCAUGCCAUGACGAUAAAUAAGGCGCUGGUGGGAGACAACCCAUAAAUGCCAUGAGGAUGGCUCAUAUCCUUUUUAUCAUAUUUAUAUAGUAUUGAUUUUAGUUUUUUCAUAUGAAUAACUCAUACAUAUGUCAUACUAUGGACUGUUUUGCAUAAGCUUAGAAAGGAAAAAGUGAACAAUUAGAGGUGAAAACCAAUCAAAGGAUUAAUAAGCACCAAGUGAGCAAAAAAGCUGGAUAGGAAAAAAAUAGGGGAGCAGACAUGCCCUCAGUUAUCAUGACCGUGGUCCCUAUGCGCAAUCAUGGUUACCAGCUUAUCUAAGAUUGAGGUCAGUUGGCCGUGAUUGUGGACACAUAAGCUAGUUGACUCAUCAACUACCUCCUUAAUUUCCUCACACUCUCGCAAAAGUUCUUGCAUGUAGUAAUGGUCUAAUCUUAAGAAAAAUGGUGAUGGUGAAAAGUCUGAAAAGGAUAGUGGUCUUUGAUGGAGUUUCAGGAAGCACUCUUAUCUCUUUGUUAGUUUUGUUUAUUCAUGCAGUAGGGACAUUGCUACCUUUUUAGUUGGGGUUCUUACCUUAUUCAUUUCAUUUGGGCUUGUAUUAUUGAUAUUGUUGCAUAUUUUCCUAUUCUUCUAGAUAAUUCUUAUCAUGAUUUUUAUUUGGGUUGUAAUAUUCGGGCACUCAGAUGGUGCUCACAUUUGAAUGGAUUAACUAUUUUGUUUGUAGUUAUCUAUUUUAGUCUAAAUUUCAUUAGUCAAGAUUUGCCUUCCUGGUUGGCUUUCUAACCAUAUAUAAUACCCUGUACUUUUCCUAGCUUGAAAAGUUUCCCAAGGAUGUUAGAAACUUUGUUUGAAAAAUGAAUCCACUUUUGUUGUAGCGACCCGAAAUAACCCCUCCAGACGCUACACAAUGCCUAAGGUCGUAAGUGACCCCAUCACUUGGAAUCACACAUAAACUAGUUGAGGUGGAUGAUUUUGUCAUCUUCCGCACAAUGAGACAAGUGGAAGUAUAGAAUGAUUUUAGUCAACAUGUGAAUCAUUUUUUGAGUGUUAGUAAUUGUUACAUAGUUGCUCCCCAAAGUCUAUUGCAUCCUUUACUAUUCCAUUUUAUAAUGAGGGGAGUCGUUGAAAGCCUAUUUGCCCAUGUGUGAAAAACUUUUGGUGGUCGCAAUCAAGUUUGAGUCUUCAUGAUCAUUGAGUGAUAGAAAGAGGCAUACAUAUGAAAUUAUCUCAUAGUAAGGUAGCGUUGCUUAAGGACAAGCAAGGUCUUAAGUUGGGGGUGUUGAUGAGUGGUGAGUUUACCACUCAUUCACACUCAUUAGUUGUGCACAUUACCUUAUUUUGAAUGAAUAAAUAAGGAAAAAUGUAUGGUUAUAUGCACUAAUAUCCACUCUUUGCAGGCAUAAAGUUAAGGAGACUAAAAGAUCGUACAAAAAGUUCCCAAACAAAUCCCCCCACCCCCACCCAUUUUAUUUUGCAUAUCAUUUUUGUUAGCAUUCAGGGUAAUCUUGUAGUAAUUUGAGCACCCAAAGUAUUUGAAGUCUAUAAUUUUCUCCUUGAGAUUCGACCCUAAUUCAAAUUGGGUUACUUGACAACGACCGCCUCACUCCUCAAUUAUAGGAGUGAGCUGAUCAUUAUCAGUUAUUCCAAACCCUUUCAAGUUGACCUUCUUGUACGUGUUCUGUCAUCCUACGAUCCGACUAUAGAAUUCUUUUUGGUUCAGGAUUAAUGGGGAGUAAGGGAUUUCCUUGACUACUCGUGCUAGGAAUACACUGGUGUAUGCUGAAAAAUAGAAAAAUAAAACUCCAAAACUUCAAAAUCAUUAAUCAUCAAUUUUGCAACUGCAUUCCCCUAUAACGGUGCCAAAAUUUGAUGUCACCGAAAACUACACCUCCACAAAGUAUAAUGUGGUUGAAGUCAAAUAUCGUAACCCAACUAGGUUAGAUCGAACCCAUAGGGAAUAGGCCAAAAAUAUUUCUCAAACUUGCUAAAAUAGUCGGGUAGUGCAGGAAAGUAAAUGGGGGGAUUUGUAGUAAUCAGUAAAAAGUAACUAGCUUUGAAUAUCUUUGGUUGUAAACAAUCUGAAAUGAACACUAGGACUGUGUUAUUCCUGGCUUCUAACUAUGUAGGUUUCUCAUUCUCAAUCCAACUACCUCAUCACUAUAAAUGCAGAAUAAGAUAAGAUAGGUAUCACCAACUGUCUUGUGGAUUCAUAGGUAAAUUUCACCUUCACUUUUUGAGUCCAGGGUGCCUCCUUACUAACCCUUGCCUUUGAUCUCAAUUAACUUCACCUUGUGGGUCUUAAUUUAUUAGACAAGGGUUGAUAGCCUCAAAUCACUGUUGAAAUCUUUUUUCCCAAUCUUGACUUCCCUUGUAAGGAUGAUCGCGAAUAUAGGUAAGUCCGUAGCUUUUAAAGUAACUAAGGAAGCAAAUAAUACAAAGAAGAUCAAUAUACAUGGCAACAAUGAUCUAAAAAAAUCUCAUAUUUCCCCUACUAUGUUAAUCCGCCAGGGUUCCCACAACCCUAAAUAAGGAAAUUAGUAGUUCAUGGUUGUGCAAUACUCCAUGGGAUUCGAUAAAGAAAGCAUAGAAUUAAUUGCACAAUAAUGAAGGAAUAAAAUCCAAAGUCUCGAGUUAAUUACGUAACCAAAAACCAAGAACAAGAGUAUAAAGUAGGUAAAGAUAUGCCAAAGUACAUAAAUUAUUACAUAAGGACCCCAAGGGUAUUUAUAGGUCUAAAAAUAACAAGGGAAACCUAACCAAAAAAAAUAGGAAAACUAAGUCGGCAAUGGCCACGCCUCUAGUAACGGGUUAUCUGGACUAAUAAUGGCUCGUUAGUCACUUUUAUUGCUCUCUUCUCUCUUCAGUGAUCACAACUCAUUAUUUCUAAAAAUGAGUCAUUGGCUGCAAGUCUUUGUCACUCUAGUAAAUUUUCACUUUCAGUAGUUUUGGAUCUGUUGUUAGAAUGAAUCCUUACCAUGACUCGUUGUCAGUCGUAACGACUCGUGGUCUUUACCAGUUUCCACUGGAACCUCAACUUGUCAACUUUUAGGACUUUUCCUCUUAUACUCAGAAAAAUUUACAUUAUGACCCACUGUCACUCAUAACGAGUCAUAGCCAGUCUUCCACUUUACUCUUGAAAUCAGCCUGACUCACAGCUAACACAACAACUUGGGCCACGAAUCAUUAGGUGACUAAAUGACUUGUGGUUCAGUCAACACUUAGAUUUUUUCUAGAGCUUUUUCAUCCGUUUUGAUCCAUGCUACUUACCAUCUAAUUAACCUACAACACACACAAAACACACAUCUUAUCAAAUAAAAUAACCCAAGUAAGUGCAUAUUUUUAACCUUUUAAGCAUUGAAAGUGUCAUAUAACCAUGGCACAUCAAUCAACAACCUGAGGGAAGGAAUACCCAGCUGAAAUCAAAUACUCUGAGGCCAAGUAGAGAGGAAAGACUAACCCUUUAAUAAAUCUAUGCACCAUCUCAUGCUCUAAGGAUAUAGCAUAUGGGUAUGUCUGGCUUACUCCAAAAACUCAAUCUCAUCUUUGAUAUCGACAAGGAACCCUACUAAACACCAAAAAAACUAACUCUGGACUGAGAACUGCUCGAUGAACUGGACCUCACUCAAGCUGAGAGGUAUUCGUAAAAAAAAUUAAAAACCCCAAUGCUGAAUCUUAAAAGGCAGAAGCAUCACAAACUCUAUCAAAGCCUGGGAUGGCCCCAAAUCCUUCGAAUAACAUUGAAGAUCUUUGAUAUUAAUCUCUAACUCCCUAGUCUAUUAUUGCACUAAAACUCUGGAAAAGUGUGUGAUAGCCUCGUCCGCAUCUAUUGAUAACUUGUAUCAUCCAUCUAGAACACAAUAGAGUCAAAGAAUGUACUAGAGGCUCAUAAAAAUAUGGACACAUGACAAAGAGUCAAGAAUAAAAUUUCCUAAGAAUGCCACAUAGCCUCCCAAAGAUAGGAUACAUAUGUCUGUACAUCAAUCUGCAAGAAUCUAUCAGACACUUAGCUCUUGUACUAACACAUUGAUAAAACUAGGCUCUGAUACCAAUUAGUCACGGCCUAAUUUUUUAGGUCAUGACGGUACCUACCACAGUAGGUAAGUCGACUCAUAGUCUGUAACUACUAGUAACGGACUAUCUAAGGAAAUCAAAGGAAAUUUGCAGAAUAAAUAUGAUAUGAGGGCUUACAUGUAUAUAGAAGUCCCAAAACUUGGUGAAGUUAGUAUGAGAGUUUCUUAUAUAAUAAGAGUUAAGGUUCAGUACUAAAUAAAUAUACAAAUACAAUCCAUCUUUAAAUACAAUACAAUACAACAAUCAGUCUAAACCAUAAGAAGGAGAAUAGUAGAUCCCCAAACGCUAAGAGCUCACCCCAAAUAUCUAAUUCAUAGCUGCUCUGCACAAUGCAUACUAUAGCGAGAACUCAUACUAUGAUCUGUAGGCUGAAAAGUGUAGUGUGAGUACAAAACAUAUGGUACUUAAAAGGCAAUUGACGACUGAGCUCCAAAGAUAAUGCCAAUAUAGAUAACAUGCAAAGACGGAAUAUAAACUACAGGCAACUAUCUAGUAAGAAAACACAAUAAAACAAGAGAGGCAAUAAGGAUGAAAUAUCCUAUUCUGGUCGUACUUAGGCACUAAAGCACUAUACCGUAUAUCACUGUCCAAUACACAAAUAAAGAGUAGAAAAAGGAUAUAUAAUAGUAUCCAAAGCCAAGAAUACAUAUAUUACAUGAACAUGCAAGGAAGAGAGAGAUAUACGGUAAUAUCGUAUCCAUAUCUACAUCUAUAUCCUACUUGAUUAGGAUGCCUGAGAUACUAGGUUGUUUAGAGUAGUUAUAUAUAUAUAUAUAACUAUGACACGACACGACCCGAGGCCUUAUCGUAAUAGGCAUCCCAAGUCUGACCUGGACUGAGGGCCGCCCCUAUUACCCAACCUAGUCACUUGCCCUGAGUUGGCUGAAUUUCGAGCAUAUAACAAGAUAGUGAAUUUAUUUAGUUCUAACUCUAAGAUAGGUCCAUAACCGAGAUCGACCCAACCGAGUCCAACCGCUCGAACCCAAUCCAAAUCAUACCAAACCAUACAUCGAAACCAAACCAAAUAGUAACCAAACCAAGUUCCAUAACACAACAUAAAAGGAUGAAACAGUGAGAAAUUUAGUCCAAUAGUAUUAGCCUCAAUACCAAUGCCAAUACUAAAGUUGACACCAAUACCAAUCUCGCCCAUGCCAACCCAUAGUAGUUCCAUAAAAACAUCUAACCAAAGAAUACCAAAAAUCCAGUUGGGACAUGCCCCCAACCAUAGCCAAAACCAAUAUCCAUAAAUAAACUGAAGUGUAUAAUAACAUCCAUGAAAUGGAGCCUUCUAAAAAGAUGGAAGCUACCACUUCAAUCCAAAAGCUAACCUCGAAUGUCCGAAUGCUAAGCAGAAGGAGUAUAAUGGUCGGAUACUGCAUCGCAUGGGGAUACUGUGCCCGAAGAUGGAUUAGCAGGUGAACGCUAGCAUGAACUCAUGAUAAGGAUAAAAUAAUGCCAUUUUAUAAAACCAAGUAAACCAUCCAUAUGCAAGCAAACCAUACAUAUAUAUAUAUAACCAUAUCGAGAAGGGAAACCAGUUUAGCAUUCAUUUGAAACCAUUAACCUGGGUAUGUGAUGUUUAAUAGUCCUAAAACCACCCACAAUCUAUGUGGGUCCAAAACAUCCUGAACGGGCCCAAAUACAUGUAGUCGCACUGACUAGAGAUACCAUAAGAAUCGGGGAUUCCCACAUACCCUUCACUCUCCAUGAUACAUAUGUAUAGUGUAUUUAGAGAAUUAUUGUGUACCAUAUAAGGUCUCCAUAACCUACCCCUCAUGUCAGCAAACAUAAGUUUCCAGUGUUCCUCCAUUGAACUCCCACCUUUACGGUUAGCUUUCACACCCUAAUUUUAUUAACUAAUUAAAACCAUUUCCAACCAAGCCAUUUUACCAUUGUUAUUAACCAAGACUAUUAGAUAGUGGUAUCACCCUACGGACUAUAACUAGCAAGUAUUUUCCUUUGCCGAACCUUUUAGAGAUCAAGGGAUUCCCAUGUACCCAUAGAUCAUAUUAUCCAAUUAGCCUGGGGAAUUCCCAUGUACCCCUCAAGUAUUCAUUGCCAUAUUAACUUGGGGAAUUCCCUUUUACUCCACAAGUAUGUUUAUUAAGCCAAACCAUUUAAACUAUUAGGGUUCCAUUACUAAGUUUAAACCAUGCAUAAGUUCCAUAAAAAGCUCAACAAUGUAGUGAAAACAUUCUAAUAUGCAUUUUAUCAAACACAUUGGCGGCAUAAUAUUACCAAAACAAAAAUCCAUUACCAAAUAACCAUUCCCAUGCAACCAAUUAUCCAAUACCACCAUUAAAGUAUAUAAAAGCAUAAUUAAAACAUGGGAAAACCAUAACCAAACAUUUAUAACCAAAACCCCCAAUUUAUAUUUAAAAUCCAAUCAUGAAAACAUUGUAUAAAACCAUGCCUUUAGUUGAAACUAAUAAUAAGGGAAGAGAACAUGCCUUAAUUGACAAAGUUGGUGGAGUGAAAUCACCAUCAAAAGCCCCAAAUUAAUCUUUAAGAUAAAACCCUAGCUUUCUUUGCCCAAGAAAUUUAAAGAGGAUUAGAGAGUGUUUUCUAAGUGUUAAUAAAUAGAAUAAUAGGGCAAAAAAACUUCAAACUGAGUUAAAACUCGUGGUGCCUUAUUAGGUUAAGUGGGGAAAUAUUCAGAUUGCCCUCACUUAAACUUCCAGAAAUCCCAUUAGGUGGGUAUGACUAUCCAUAACAGUUGUACCCUCUACGACUGAUACCUACCACUCAUACCCAAGGCUAUCUCUAUUAGACCCAACACUAUCCAAGGUUUGACUCAGCCCAAACCCUAUCAUAUUCAAGUACAUGACUAGUACCCAUGAUUCGUACCCCUGGCAAAAUAGAAUCCCAAGGGGGUUGAACAUUGCCCACCAUACGAGUCCAUGGUAUGACUUGUACCCUGGCUUACGGCUCAUAGUGAGCCACUUGAACUAAGAUCCAACUUAAGUUACCGAGUCUAACACUAAGUAAAGUAACCAAACAACCCAUACCCACCAUACGACUCGUACCCCCAAGUCGUACCCAUUCCAGAAACCAAAUCCAACCCACCAACCAACACUGGUCAGUAUACGACUAACCCAUACCACUAGUCGUUACCUCUAGUCAUAUCCUAUCCAAAGACCAAAAAUUCAAGAAAUUAUCCAACGACCAAAAACCCAGGGUGUUUCAUGUAUGUGUAUAUAAAUGUAUGUAUAUAUGUACGUAUAUAUAUAUAUAUAUAUAUGUAUAUAUAUAACUACUCUAGGUAAUGACUAUGGUAAACAACCUAGUAUCUCAGGCAUCCUAAUCAAGUAGAAAAUUGGCAUUGGAUAUCAAGGUCCUAACUAUAAGAUAAUUAUCUGUAAUAUAAUUUAUCUUAAAAGAGAGUAUUAGAAUCAUACUUUCAACCUCAGUUUCACUCCAUAAUCAGUCUGCCAUGAAAUAACUAUAAUAACAAUAAUAAAUUAACUAGCUAAUCUGGAAAAACAAUACCUAAUUGAAACCCUAUAAAUCCGAAAGGUUCAAUCAACACUCAACAAAUAGAAAACAACAAUCAUAGCCUAUACCUAUGAACCCACCCCCCAUAAGGCUGAUAGAUAUAUAAGUACCAAAGAACAUACUGGUGAUAGGCAAUGCGCAUGCAUGAAUGAAUGCAAAGUAAAUCCAUAAUACCAUAACCGAUUCAAGUUCCAUAAUGUACUCAGUAUAUACACCUCAUCCAACUCAAUGGCUUGAAAAGGAAGGACCUACGACGACCUCUCUUCUCCGAUAUGAGGCUCAUGAAUGAAAAAGGACCUAAGGGAUUUGGGAAUAUAUGUAUACACUGACCUAGUCCAAUUCAGAGAGAUGUAUAUAUAAUAAAUACACAUACUUAAACCAUAGAUAAAAGAGUGUAAGUCUGUAAAUCCAUUAACUAGGACCAAAUUUGUAACUAAAUCAUCAUAAUAGAGCAAAAAGGGUCAGAAUCUCUCACAAUCAAAGUAAAUUAUAGUAAUAAAAGAGUAGGUAAACUAUGGACCAGAAUCAAUCUCGCUCUAAUUUCCAAAACAUCAAUUUUAGUGCUAAAAUGUCAUAAAUCAUCCAUUAAGGUGGUACGAUUCCCUUUAUAAAAGAGUCCAUUUAAAAGUGAAAAUUGAGGAUAAAUUCCUUUUUUAGAAAAUAAUAGUAAAAUCAUGAUUUUAUCGGAAUCAUACCACUAAGUGAGUAUGCCAUCAUCAAUAUCAAAAUAAUACAAUCAUAAAUGGACAACAUCUAUAGACUAAAGCCACGUCCUUUAUAAGUAUAAAAUACUUUCAUAGAUUCCAACUAGUAUUGUAACCACGACCUUGGGCCAAAUAGUAUAUAACCAUCAUAAUAUCAAUACUAUAAAUUGGAAAACUAUGAUCUAAUCCUCUAAGUCAAGUGAUAAACCUUUUACUAAAGGGGUCCAUAGCAUCACUAUGAUAAAUAUGCUAGUAAUGUAGGGUGAUGGGAUCCUAUAGUUGUAACGAGUGUUUCAUAUUAAGGGUCGAUUCACCCUUCUAUCCCCGAACUCUUAAAUUAGGCUAAGUCAUGGUGUUCUACCCAUAUUCAUAUUCUAAUAUCCUUAUGUAACAUGAAAUAUACACCAUACACUAUCUCAUGAAGAAGAAUAGAUCGAAGUCUGUCUUGAUGCUGAAUCGUCAAUCCUUCAGUUAUCCAACAAAACAUCUGUCUUUGAUCUAUGAUCCAAAAAUGCUGCUACACUAUAAAAAUAGUAAUCAAUGUUAUUAGGAGUAAAAAAAAUAAAGGGUCGGGUCAGAAUUUCAAUCAAGAAUACCCCCGCGAGGCCUGAAAAUGGAAUCCAAAAUUGAAUCCAUCACAAGGCUCCUCGAAGGACAAGGAAUGUGUGAUAAAAAGUUGAGCACAAAUAGUGCAUAAAUUGUGGCCCAAAUCAGCCCCUAAGGUCUAAGGGUGUAAAGGCCUAACUUCUAAGAAUUUGAAAUAAAAUGGGAUGAAAAUUGACGAGAUAGCUAAUGGGAAAUAUUCAAAGAGUGUUAGUCUAUCUUACCUUAGCUUCAAUGAAUGAUUUACUCUUUCCUUCUCUUCAAGCUCUCAAAUAAUGGAAAAUGAUAGAGAAAAUGAAUGGGUAUUUUGGGUGAAGAAGGGGAUUUAAUAAUUCCAAAGUGUCACUUAAGCGACUCAAUGAUCACUUAAGCAAAUAUCACUUAAGCAAUCAAGUGAUCGCUUAAGUGAUCCACCAUAAAUAUCUAACCUUCGCUUAUGCAGUGAGUACCACUUAAGUGACCCCCGCUUAAGUGGCAAUGCCAUUGCUUAAGCAGCAAGGCGGGUACAAGGGCAAUUACUAAAGAGAUCCCCUAUUCGAUUAUGCGACCACCACUUAAGAAACGAAAGGUCCAUUUAAGAAGUUGCACCAGAUGGUGUUAUGAACCGGAUUUGCUAAGUCCAAAAUGGACUCCGACUAGAUGCUCGAAAUUCAUUAAGAACCCCAUGCGCACAAAAGAACUAUACUACUAUAUCAAAUUCGACAUUUAAGACAAAUAAAAUUGUCACGCCUUAAAUCCUAUUAGAGCGGACAGGCACCCAUAGCCGUGAAGGCCUAAGAGAACCAAUCCAUAAUCUUGUACUUCUCAUGCAUGUAAUAUGACAACCAAAGGUUAUAACAAAUAUGAUAUAAUGCAUCGAUGAGAAUAACUACGUAUGCAAGCGCAAAAUUAUAUAUACAAGGCAUGAUCGUUGGGGCCACACAUAUAAAAGACAAGACACUACCAUGUUUAACAUUACAUUAGUCUAUAAAGCCACUAAAAGAUACAUAGACAUAGCUAGGGUCGGGACAAACCCCUGCCCUACUCUUGACUAUUGCACAAUACCAAAAUAUAUGGAAUUGACUCGGAAAGCCCCGAAUCAACCUGGAGCUCACCAAUGGUCACUGAAUAGCCUGUGCUCCUACUAGCAAGGUGUAUUAGCUGAAGCACCUAUUCCUGCAGCAUGAAAUAUAGGUCCCCCGUAAGGGACGUCAGUACAAAAAUAUGUACUGAAUAUGUAAGGUUGAAGGUAACAACACAUAAUACAAAAGCUCAACAAAAAUCAGAUGCAAGUGUAUAAGUAGUACUAGUAGACCACCUUUAUAAAUACUUAUGGGACUAUGUACAUUACAUUGUAUUCCUUACUUUUACCUUUCUUACAUCAAAAUAUUCGUAAGCCAUAUAAUAUAAAUGACCAGCUGAUCAUUGGUAAAUAGAUAAUUGGAAUCGGCCUAUGCUAGGCUUACACCUCUGAGCUGCCACCCACAUAUGAAAAUUGGGAUCGGCUCAUGCUAGUCUUUUGCCCCUGAGCUGCCACCCACAUAUAUAGGUAUCGAGAUCAUCCCAUGCUAAGCUUAUGCCCCUGAGCUGCCACUCGUUUUACAGAUUGUGUUACUUAGUUUAUUUAACCUUUGAGAUUGUUACUUUGGUGGUCAUAACAUUAUGGUACCUUGAAAUAAUAAUCUACCAAUAAGAGACAUAUAAAUUGGAACUUAAUGCAACAAUAAUGAGGUAGGGAGAUGUUGGCACACAAAUGAAGUGUUUAGGAGAUGAAAAUAACACAUGGGUCUUAUUUGAGUAAACGGAGAACUCCUAAAAUUUUCUAGUGAAAAUAGACAUGCAAGUUUAAUAAUAAGCAUGAAUUGAGGUGUUUUGACAUGUCAUAGAGUGGGAACAACGCCAUUGGCUACAUGGGAUAUAAUACGUUGCUAUUAUGUAUCACUUGUUAUAGGAUAACCUGGGAAGCUUACUUGAUGGAACAAAUAUCUGAUUUUAUGCCAAAGAGUGCAAAAUAGAGUAUGCCUUACAUACCUGGUUAUAUAACUCCAAAACUAACCCAACUUGACUUCUCGACUUUUAGAUUACUUAUCUACAAUAGAAUAUAUGUUAAACUAGUAUUAGCAACCAACCAACACAUUUGGGCUACUUAACUUCACCAAAAUAGUUAACGGGCAUUAAGCCCUUAAUCUAUUAAUCAAGGGUAUUAUUUUUACCCUUUUCUCCUCUAAUUACACCCAUAUACCAUACAUAUUUUUAUAAGAUUCACCAAAACUACCUCAACUUCAUUACAUCCUCUAAAUAAUACACAAAAUAGAUCGGGCAGUAAACAUAUGCAUAAUUAGUUCGGUGGAGUAUCGCCAUACCUUUUUCCUAUAUUUCAAUUCAAACUAGUCACACCUUUCUCCAAUAUCAACUUGGCAGCCCAGAACAUAUACAUACAAAACAGUCCAAAAAAUAGCCCCAAAUCCUUUUUAUUGUAGCAAUUAAUUAUUGAACUCAUCAUCUCUUGAGUUCUCAAUAACAACACAUCCAUAAUUCUCUCUUAAUUUCAUAUAUAAGAAGAAAAAAAUGGAUCAGUCACCUUACCUCAAUUCUACAAAUUAUUCUUUUAAUUUGAACUCCUCAAGAACUUCAACUUUCACUUUCCUUCACACUUUAAAUCAAAGAAGAAAAGAGAUCUCUUAAUAAUAAAGAAAAAAGUGAGCAAGUAGCUUGUUCUGUACUCUGCCAUGAAUUAAUAAUUAAGCACUUAUAGCAUGUUUUCCUAAUCUUCUGUGAGAUAAUUAAGCUAAACCAUAAGUCUUUUCGCUUACCUUGGCUUGCAAAGUUUGGAGUUUCUCUAAGAACCCUAAAAGGAAAUAUAGGGCUGCUCUUAGUUGUUUUAAAGAAAGUAGAGAGAAUUUUGAGAAGUAUAACCUUUAUUUGUGACUUAAGAAUAAGGGAAAAUGACCAGAAACUUGUUCUAUAAAGGCUCUAUUUUGGCCACCCACUUAGCUGCAUUUUGGACCUCAAAUUUGGUCAAAUUUUUCCAAGUAGGUGAUGCACCUACUUACUUAAUUCUUAGUUGGGCUCAAUUAAAUUGAGCCUUGGCAUAUUUGAGCAUUGGGCCGUUUCUUUUAUUUAAUUUGGGCCCAAAUAAGUAUACUACUAAAGGCCCAAAUUUUAUCCAUGGACUUGGUCUAUUAACUUGGCUCAUAUAACCAAAGUAAGUGACUCACCUGCUAGCUUAAUUAAGUCAAGCAAGCACCUCAAUAAAUUACUCCAUUUUCAGUUCUUAAUCCAUUUAAUCUAAUUUAAAAUUUGUAUACACUUGGUCACUUUAAACUUUAGAUUCAAAGACUAGCUUAUGAUCCCAAGUUUAAAUAGUUGUGUCGACGUUAACUUGGUCGUAUCACAUUAAAACUUACUAAUGAAGAUUCUUCUGCAUUAUGCAUAAUAAGCCCUUCAUCUGAAGUUUCAAGAAGUUGAACCCCCAAAUUGGCUAGUUGGUACAGAUCUUUAGUUAUCAGUUGGUACAGAUUUUUAGUCAUCAUUUUUCUUUCUAUAGACGGUGUCAUAGUCUUACGACUUAACGCAUCUACUGCCAUAUUUGCUUUCCUCGGAUGAUACAAAAUAUCAACGUCAUAAUCUUUUAAUAGUUCAAGCCACCUUCACUACCUCGAGUUUAGAUCUUUUUGGCUAAAGAUAUAUUGCAAACUCUUGUGGUCAUUAUAUAUGUCAACAUGAAUCCCAUACAAGUAGUGACGCCAUAUCUUUAAGGCAAAUACAACCGCUACUAGCUCCAGAUCAUGCAUUGGAUAAUUUUUCUCACGUGGCCGCAAUUGUCUUGAGGCAUAUGUUAUCACUUUACAAUGCUGCAUCCACACACAUCCUAAAUCAAUUCUUGAAGCAUCACAAUACAUUGUAUACCCUUCUGUGCUUUCUGGCAGUACCAAUGCAGGUGUAGAAGUCAACUUAUUCUUUAGAUCUUGGAAACUACUUUCACAUGCAUCAUUCAAUUGAAACUUGGACGCUUUGUGUGUUAUCUUUGUUAAAGGUACAAAAAUUGAAGAAAACCUUCAACAAACCUCUUAUAAUAACCUACCAACCCAAGGAAACUACGAACCUCCAUAGGCAUUAUAGGUCUUGGCCAGCUCUUCACAACUUCUAUCUUUUGAGUAUCAACCUUUAUUCCUUCAUCAGAUACAAUAUGACCCAAGAAUGCCAUAGAUUUUAACCAAAAAUCAUAUUUAGAGAACUUUGCAUAUAGCUUAUGAUCACGAAGAAUCUGUAACACAUGUCGUAAGUGACUGGCAUGUUCCUCAUUUAAAUAAACCAGAAUAUCAUCUAUCAAAACUAUCACAAAUACAUCCAAGAAUGGCUUGAACACCCUAUUCAUCAAAUCUAUAAAAGUUGCAGGUGCACAUUAGUUAGCCCAAAGGACAUGACUAAAAACUUGUAAUAACCGUACCGUGUUUGAAAAGCUGUCUUAGGUAUGUUCUUCUCUUUGACCCUCAUUUGGUGGUAACCAGACCUCAAAUCAAUCUUUGAAAAACACUUGGCACCUUGCAACUAAUCAAAUAAGUCACCAAUUCUCAAAAGGGGAUAUUUGUUCUUAAUAGUCACCUUAUUCAGUUGUCGAUAGUCAAUACACAUUCUAAAUGAGCCAUCUUUAUUACGCACAAAUAACACUGGUGUGCCCCAAGGGGACAUAAUAGGCCUUAUGAAUCCUUUUUCUAGAAAGUCUUUCAAUUGAUCUUUCAACUCUCAUAAUUCUGUCGGGGCCAUUCUAUACAGAGAAAUUGAGAUUGGUUGAGUACCUGGAAUCAUAUCAAUACCAAACUCCACUUCUCAUUCUGGUGGCAAACCUGGAAGAUCUUCAGAAAAUACCUCAGAAAAUUCAUUUACCACUGGAAUAGUUUAAAGAGUUAGUAGCUCCGCAUCUGUAUCCUUCACUCUAGCUAGAUAAUAGAUGUAACCAUUGGAAAUCAUCCUUUUCGCCUUAAAAUAAGAAAUAAAUUUACCUCUUGGCGCACUAAUGUUACCCCUCCAUUCAAGGGUUGCCUCUCUUGGAAAAUGAAAAUACACCCUUUUAGUUCGGCAAUCAGUAGUAGCAUAAUAAGAAGCCAACCAAUCCACACCCAUUAUAGCAUCAAAAUCUACCAUUUCUAACUCAACCAGGUCAGCCAUUGUAUCACAACCACAAAUAGUUAUUAUACAAUUUUGAUACUCUCUUGGCUAUAAUAGAUUCACCAACUAGCGUAGACACUUCAAAUGGCUUAACUAGAAAUUCUGGUGUUCUUUUGAACUUACCAGCAACCAAUGGAGUGACAUAUGAUAAUGUAGAACCCGGAUCAAUUAAUGCAUAUACAUUAUGUGAAAAUAUGGAUAAUGUACCUAUAACUACAUCUAGAGAAGCCUCUAAAUUUUGUUGAUCCGCUAAAGCAUAUGUACGAUUCUGAACUCCACUAGAGCUAGCUGCUUCUUUAGCAACUCUACCAUGACCUAUAGGCUGUACACCCCUACUAAAAAUGGCACCAAUGAUGAUGAUACAGUGUCUAAUCCAGUAGGUCAUGUUAUACCACUCAUGCCUCUUUGGGAGUAUUCUCUCAUCAUAUGCCCCGGCGUACCACACCGAAAGCAAAUAUUUUUCCCAAACCGCAUGCACCCAAAUAAAGCUUUCCACAUUUUUACAUGGUUGCUGAGGAGUUCUUAAUUGGCUCAUACUCCCUUGCUCUUGAUACCCCGCUACUCGUGAACUCUGACUCCCACUUCUCUGCCCAAAAUAAUUGCCUUUAGACCCUUGAAACUAUGGUAUAGCAUUAGCUGUAGGAUAAGAAGAUAAUCGCCUAGGUGGUUUAUUAGAAAACCAAGGCUUAAACUCACCUUAGGAUGCCACGAACUGCCCUGUAGAUCUGGCCCUCUUGGAAUACCCUCUUUCUAAUUCUUGUACUCUUCUUCUUUGUCUCUGAUCCUCUAUUUUUUAUGCAAAAACUUGUAUCCUUGCUAUGUCCAUGUCUUUGUUCAAAGCAGCAAUAGUACAAUCUCUAACCAGAUAUGAAUCUAAUCUAUCCACAUAUUGAUGUACCCUAUCAUCCAUAGUAGUUACUACAUUAAGAGCAUACCUAGCCAAAGAGUUAAAUCGAAGGUUGUACUCCCUCACGCUCAUAUUCCCUUGGCAAAGAUUCAAGAACUGAUCCGCAUGGGCUUCUCGAAUCUCAAAUGGGAGGUAAUGAUCAAGAAAUGACUCUUUGAACUCUUUUCAAGUAGCUGAAGGUGCAUCAAUACCCCUAGAUCGUUUCCAGUCUUCAUACCAAAAUAUAGCCUCUCCUUUGAAUAUAUAUGCUUCUAGCUCAACUAUCUCCUUACCCGAUACAUGCAUGACGUCUAAAGCCCUUUGGAUUUGAUCAAUAAAGUCCUGUGGGUCUUCAUUAAAAUCUGAUCUAGUGAAUAUGGGAGGAUCCAAUUUAAGAAAAUCAUGCAUCCGUAGGCUAGCUGCCCUAUCUGUACAACUAGCAACUGUGGUUGGAAUGGCUUGUCCUUGAGCUUGUCUAGAAAUUAUACAAGCCAACAAUUGCACCGCAUUCCUUAGAUCUUGGUCAGUAGCAUUAAUAGGUGGUUCUAAGGAUAUUGCUCUUCCCCUUCUUAGCUCUUCUAGAGCUAAUAGAGGAGUAGAAGAGGUUUGUGAUCCAAACUCAACUUGAGCCUCACUUUGAUUAGCUUAUCUAGGUAGUGACUUGCUGGUCCCUUCUCUGGCAGCCACGUCUACUCGCUUACCCGUAUUCUUACUCCUUCUUAUAACCGGCAUCUUUACUAUAAUGAGAAAAAACAAAUUUAAUGGUUAAAUAGGACUCCACCUACGACUUAGGCUCUAUUGCACGAUCUAAGAUGUGAAGGAAAGGAGACAACCCCUAAAUGUCCCAUAGCCUCUUGUAUAUAGGUGUGGUGCACCACACACCCAUAAGCAAGACUCUACGUAGACACAACUUUGUAGAUUCCCUAGGAUGACCUGCUCUGAUACCACUUUUGUCAUGCCUCAAAUCCUAUUGGGGCGAACAAGCACCCGGAGCCGUGAAGGCCCGAGAGAACCAAUCCAUAACCUUGUACUUCUCAUGCGUGUAACUAUGACAACUAAACGUUCUAACAAAUAUGAUAUAAUGCAUCGAUGAGAAUAACUACGUAUGCAAGCGCAAAAUUACAUAUACAAGACAUGGUCGUUGGGGCCAUACAUAUAAAAGACAAGACACUACCAUGUUUAACUUUACAUUAGUCUAUAAAGCCUCUAAAAGAUACAUAGACUUAGCUAGGGUCGGGAUAAACCCCUGCCUUACUCUUGACUAUUGCACAAUACCAAAAUAUGUGGAAUAGACUCGGAAAGUCCCGAAUCAACCUGGAGUUCACCAAUGGUCACUAAUAGCCUGUGCUCCUACUAGCGAGGUGUAUUAGCUGAAGCAUCUGUGCUUGCAGCAUGAAAUACAAGUCCCCCGUGAGGGACGUCAGUACAAAAAUAUGUACUGAAUAUGUAAGGUUGAAGGUAACAACACGUGAUACAAGAGCUCAAUAAAAAUCAAAUACAAGUGUAUAAGUAGUACUAUUAGACCACCUUUAUAAAUACUUGUGGAACUACGUACAUUACAUUCCUUCCUUCACUUUUACCUUUUUUUCUUCAAAAUCUCCGUAAGCCAUAUAAUGUAAAUGACCAGCUGAUCAGUGGUAAAUAGAUAAUCGGGAUCGGCCCAUGCUAGGAUUUUGCCUCUAAGCUUCCACACACAUAUAUAGUAUCUAGAUCAGCCCAUGCUAGGCUUAUGCCCCUGAGCUACCACUAAUUUUACAGAUCUCGUUACUUAGUUUAUUUAACCUUUGAGAUUGUUACUUUGGUGGUCAUAACAUUAUGGUACCUUGAAACAAUAAUCUACCAAUAAGAGACAUGUAAAUGGUCACUUAAUGCAAUAACAAUGAGGUAGGGAGCUUUGGCACACAAAUGAAGUAUUUAGGAGCUGAAAAUAACACAUGGGUCUUAUUUGAGUAAACGGAGAACUCCUAAAAUUUUUCAGUGAAAAUAGACGUGCGGGUUUAAUAAUAAGCAUGCAUUGAGGUGUUUUAACACGUUAGAGAGUGGGAACAAGUCAUUGGCUACAUGGGAUGUAAUACGUUGCUAUUAUGUAUCACUUGUUAUAGGAUAACCUUAGAAGCUUACUUGAUGGAACAAAUGUCCGAUUUCAUGCCAAAGAGUGCAAAAUAGAGUAUACCCUACAUACCAGGUUAUAUAACUCCAAGACUAACCCAACUUGACUUCCCGCCUUUUAGAUUACUUAUCUACAAUAGAAUAUAUGGUAAACUAGUAUUAGCAACUAGCCAACACAUUUGGGAUACUUAACUUCAUCAAAACAGUAACCGGGCAGUAAGCCCUUAAUCUGUCAAUCAAGGGUGUUAUUUUAACCCUUUUCUCCUUCAAUUACACCCACAUAUCAUAUAUGUUCUUAUAAGAUUCACCGAAACCACCCCAGCUUCAUUACACCCUCCAAACAAUACACAAAAUAAAUUGGGUAGUAAACAUAUGCAAUAAUUAGUUCGGUGGAGUACCGCUACACCUUUUUCUAUAUUUUAAUUCGAACUAGUCACACCUUUCUCCAAUAUCAACUUGGCAGCCCAUAACAUAUACAUACAAAACAGCCCCAAAUUUCUUUUAUUGUGGCAAUUAAUUAUUGAACUCAUCAUCUCUUGAGUCCUCAAUAACAACAUAUCCAUAAUUCUCUCUCAAUUUCAUAUAUAAGGAGAAUAAAAUGGAGCAGUCACCUUACCUCAAUUCUGCAACUUAUUCUUUUAAUUUGAACUCCUCAAGAACUUCAACUUUCACUUUCCUUCACACUUUAAACCAAAGAAGAAAAGAGAUCUCUUAAUAAUAAAGAAAAAAGUGAGCAAGUAGCUUGUUCUAUAUUGUGCCAUGAAUUAAUAAUUAAGCACUUAUAGCAUGUUUUCUUAAUCUUUUGUGAGAUAAUUAAGCUAAACCAUAAGUGUUUUCACUUACCUUGGCUUGCAAAGGUUGGGGUUUCUCCAAGAACCCUAAAAGGAAAUAUUGGACUGCUCUUAGUUGCUUUAAAGAAAGUAGAGAGAAUUUUGUGAAGUAUAACCUUUAUUUGUGACUUAAGAAUGAGGGAAAAUGACCAGCAACUUGUUCUAUAAAGGCCUUAUUUUUUACCAUCCACUUAGUUGCAUUUUGGACCUCAAAUUUGUUCAAAUUGGUCCAAAUAGGUGAUGCACCUACUUACUUAAUUCUUAGUUGGGCUCAAUUAAAUUGGGCCUUGGCAGAUUUGAGCAUUGGGCCUUUUCUCCAUUUUACUUUUUUUUUAUUUAAUUUGGGCCCAAAUAAGUAUACUAAUAAAGGCCCAAAUCUGAUCCAUAGACUUGGUCCAUUAACUUGGCUCAUAUAACCCAAGUAGGUGACUCACCUACUAGCUUAAUUAAGUCAAGCAAGCUGCUCAACAAAUUACUCCAUUUUCAGUUCUUAAUCCAUUAAAUCUAAUUUAAAACUUGUAUACACUUGGUCACUUCAAACUUUAGAUUCAAAUACUAGCUUACGAUAUCAAGUUUAAAUAGUUGUGUCGACGUUAACUUGGUCGCAUCACAUUAAAACUUACGGGCAGGAUCUAUAAUUCCAUCUACACCAUUAAUAGUCGCAUAACAAAUUUCACCUGUUACCUAUACCACAAGACUAUACCAAGUUCCAUAUAAUUAGAAUAAGAACAAGCAAAAUACGAGAUGUUACAGAAAUCAGCGAAAGUUUCAUUUGAUACCGUUUCAACUAAAUAUGAAAUCCACACCUGUAAUUCGAUUUUUCAUAUAAUCUACCUAAGAGUCUGAAAGUCUCGAGACAUGAAUUAAGGAUCCCCUAACCUAAAAAUCAAUGUUCCAAAGAUGAAAGUGGUGCUAAAAUUAUCAUUUGAGGUCAUUUACUAGGAGACUUGGUACUAGACCAAUUUCUUUACAACGAAAGCUCCAAACAAAAAAAUGAGUCUAAAACUCAAACGAACUAUCCAAUAACUGAACCAAAAAUUUCUACAAGUCUUAAAUGAGCUGUAGCAGCUGGAAAGAACUGAAAUGUUGGAAAUGCAUGUAAAUCGGGGAAAUGAUCUAGAGGAUCUUUACACCAGCCCACCACCCAUUUAACCCCAUCUUCUUCUUCACUUCAACAUAACACCAACAACACGCGACAACAUAAACAUUCAUCAGCUCAACAACAUCGACCUAUAUAAACACAAAAUUCCCAAAGGUCCUUUGCCGCCCAGAGUUCCCUCUCUUUAUACAUCUACAUAUGAUAAGCACAAUUUCUGCACUUCGAUCGUUCUAACAUCUGCGACAUUGCAGUAUCCAUGAUAUUUCCUUUUCUAAAAAUUGUCACAAUUUUGCAAAUUCGUUUAGAGAUUGUGCGAAAUCCAACGUGGAACAUUAUCCUCAAAACUGAUUUUGAAUUAUAAAAUUCAAAAACCCCAAUUAUCCCCAAUAUUGAUUUUUACCCUAAUCAUACGAAUUCGGAUGAUUCGAUACAGCAAAAGCUCAUCCAACAAGAUUCCAGAACUCCUAAAUCCCACAUUUAAAUUUCAUUCUCAAAGACCUAAAAUCAUUCCUAUAUAAACCCUUUUACUCCAUCGUUUGACGAGAAGGUUAAAGACAGUCAACAGUAGAGAACUCCAACUGAGAAAGGGAUUUCGCUAAGACUGAAGAUUCUAGUGUCAAGAAAUGUGAUAAGACUCACUUGAUCUCAAAUUUAUAGGCUAAGGAUUGAGCUUGUUUUUGGUGGUGGUACGAAAAAAAUUAGAAGAAGCUGGAAGGCCUGAUAUUGUUGCUCUGAAAUAGGUGAUACCCCUAUUCCUCUUGUGUUCUAUCUCAAUUUAUCUUCUUGCAUCAUGAUGCUUCUUGUUGUAGCUUUCUUUUUAGUACUAUCUAUGUUCUGAUUGUGAUUUUUCAUUCAUCCGCAGUAGUAGCGCCAAAUUUCACACAUGAGCAUGGGAAUGGACUUAAUACUGUUGGCUCUUUUCGUUUAAAUUAUUUCAGCCUGUGUACUAUUUCAAGGGGUUUAAUUCUAAAGUUUCUUCCUUUGCUAUUUGUGAUUCGUUCAUGUCUUUGCGUUAGUUAGGUUAGUUUGAGCAUUAACAUGAGUUUCAAUCAUGUUUGUCUAAGCUUUACUACUAUUUCUUUUUUCCUCUUAUUAGAAAUAUGUAAGAAUUACCUUUCUGUUGAACGCGUUUGUUUAUAUAACUUUGUUCGUUCUUGUCAUUUUUAGCGAAUGGUAUCGCAAAACUCGUCCUACCACUUGGGCAAUUGCUCACUAUUGUUUUGAUUUACGAGUUAAGACAACUUAAAGUUGUUCGAUUUGAAUGGUUAGAGUUUGUCUCUCUUUGAGCUUGUAUUGCUAAUGCGUCGAUUCAAUAGGUCGAAAAUUUGUUUUUAAGGCUAUCUGUUAAAGAGCAGUGACCCCUUUUUUUUAUUCUUUUUCACAUAUUGAAGGCCAUCUCCUUGUAUGAUCUUUGCUUAUGACUCUUUAUUUUGUUUCAAUCAUUUUCCUUUGUCAACAAAUAAAUCUUUAAUUUUUAGGCGAUUGAAUUCAUCCCUAUCUCUCAGUCUUUCCCCUUUUCUUUUUCCCUUAGAAGCCUCCACUGAAUCAUGAAACACUAUGACCAAGUGUAAGUGAAUCCAUGAAAGAGCCUAGAAUUCUCAUCUUUAAGCUUUUUUGAAAAUCUGAAAAUCACUACGCUAUGAGUGUGAGUUCAAUAAGGCCUUUAAGUUAUUUGUUCGUCCUCUCUUUUUAGUUAUUCUUCUUCGAUGGACUUUGUGUGGUAUUAACUACGAAAUUUGCUUAAUGAUUUCUGAUUUUAACUGUAUUCGUUGGUUCGAGUUAUAAAUGGUUACAUUGUAUUAUUCUUAUAAUAGAUUAAAGGUCCUUGAGGGACCGAUUUGAUUUGUACAUAUUGUAACUUUUCAAGAGAUGAUGAAAUAAGUAAGUUUUAAAUUAUUAUAUGGCAAUUCUUCUUGGAUAUGUUUUUGAUUGAAAGAAGUUGGAUUUAGCUUUUUGAUCAAUCAUUGAUUAUUUUUAUGGAAUGAAAGUUACUUAUUUUGCUCUUUAUGUAUUAAUUAGGUUCUAAUCUUUAUAUCUUUUUCUUUGCAUGUGAAACUUUUCCGCAUUCAAAUGGACUUUCUUCACCUCGCAUUUCUCCAAUGGGUCAACAAGGCUCGUUUUUCUUUUAGUUUGAGUCUCCCGACCAAAUGGACUGGAUAGCGUGAAAUGAGCCAAGACCCAUGAAAUUUAAGUUCAUGACUAGUCUUGAUAGGUCAAGCAGAGGCCCAAGUUUCAUCUUUCCUCUCUUUAAUUACUAGUAAUACAUAUUUGUUUAUUUGUAUUAACUCUAAUAUUUUUCUUAACUUAGUUUGAAUUUUCCUUUUGAAUUGGCAAUGUUUUGCAAAUAAAUUCUUUUAUAGAUUUAACAUGAUUGAUUUUAUUAUUCGAUUCAAAGCUAUUAACCGAUGUUUGUUUUCCCAAAAUAAUGGUAUAAGUUCAAAUUGGAAUAAAAAAGAAAAAUUACCUUCAUUGACAAAUCUCAAACUUCUCUGAAUUAAGGCAUCUUUUUUCUCAAAAUCCCUUUUUCAUAAGUUAGUCAAUUAAGUUAAUUUCAAAUAAGAUCGAACAAUCGCAAGUUAUCGGAUAAUCUUGGUGCUAUAACAACUUUUCAAGAGUAUUAAUUGUAACCACUUACCCAAUUUUUUAACUCUUGAAAGAUAUUUUCUAUUUUUAACUUUUAAGUAUAUUAUUAAAGAUUUUCUUAAUUUUCCUUGAUCAAAUUAAGUGGCAAAUCGGUUUCUUUCAAUAUUAAAUUUGAACUUUUUUAUAAGUGUUCGAAUUAGUAAAAUCGCAAAAGUUCGUCUUCUCUGCAAAUCAGACACAAUCACAUUGUAUCUUGAGAUACUCUAUAACACUUGUCUUUAACUUAGUCCAAAGACUUUCAAGCAAUCAUUGACACUAUCAAAUUGUGUCUUGAUUUAUGAGAUAUUCUAUAAAUCUUUAGAGGCAAGACUUACACAAAGACUUUCAAACAACAAUUUACGUAUCAUGGCAAAAGUUAAUGCUACCACAUUGUAUCUUGAUUUAUGAGAUGUUUAAAAAAAAAUAAAAAUAAAAUAAAGGUUGAGACGAAUAAAUUAAAACAAAAAAAUAAAAAAUAAAAUCAGGAAACAG
This 25977-nucleotide long non-coding RNA is filed under the name Capsicum annuum. RNAcentral's name for it is "long non-coding RNA (CANN_LNC002637)". The record is from RNAcentral. Lineage: Eukaryota; Viridiplantae; Streptophyta; Magnoliopsida; Solanales; Solanaceae.